UUAUUUCUCUUGUGCUUUAUUUCCUAUAAUAAUGGCCGACGCAACCUCAAAAGAGAGCUACCUAAUGUUACUUACUUUACUUAUUUGUGGGAUGUUGAGUUAUCUACUUUAUGAUGCCAUUGUAGAGGUAAUGCAAAGCUUUCUAAUGGUUCUCCCUUUGAUUUUGGUUAUGGCAAUUCAUUGGCUCUCUUGAGACAUAGCAAGUCGUUUUAGCCUUCCCAUGCCUUCAAGUGAGCUUUUCAGUUAGUUCUUCUUUUUCUUCUCAUUUCCUAACAACCUUUCCUUCCUGCAAGUUCUGCUAGCUCCCAACCAUAGCAGGAUUUCAACCAGUAAUACUUUCUUGGGUGCUAGAAGGAUUGGAACACAAAAGGUUUAUUUAAAAAUAAUUUUUUUUUGAAAAAAAUAUUGUUAUAUUUUGGUCCUUAAGAGUGUUUAUGUGAGCUUGUACGUUUCUUAUGUCAAUGGGUUUCGUGUUGAAGAAAAAAUGUUGUAUUUUAUAUUUGGAUUCUAUAUGUUAAAAUUUUUACUUGUAUGAGUAAUAUACCUAGCUAAGUUCUCUUUGUUUUGUUUGUUA
This 574-nucleotide long non-coding RNA is filed under the name Jatropha curcas. RNAcentral describes it as "long non-coding RNA (JCUR_LNC000450)". The record is from RNAcentral. Lineage: Eukaryota; Viridiplantae; Streptophyta; Magnoliopsida; Malpighiales; Euphorbiaceae.